This 271-nucleotide ribosomal RNA is filed under the name uncultured archaeon. Its description in RNAcentral is "partial 16S ribosomal RNA". It matches the Rfam family "Archaeal small subunit ribosomal RNA", at positions 477 to 747 of the family's 1478-position model. The record is from RNAcentral.
CAGCGCCACGAGUGGCAUCCACGUUUAUUGGGCCUAAAGCGUCCGUAGCCGGUUUAGUAAGUCUUUUGUGAAAUUGUGCGGCUCAACCGUACAACGUGCAAGAGAUACUGCUAGGCUUGAGACCGGGAGGAGUCAGAAGUAUUCCAGAGGGAGCGGUAAAAUGUUAUAAUCUCUGGAGGACUACCUGUGGCGAAGGCGUCUGACCAGAACGGAUCUGACGGUGAGGGACGAAAGCCAGGGGAGCGAACCGGAUUAGAUACCCGAGUAGUCC